This 801-nucleotide ribosomal RNA is filed under the name Listeria monocytogenes. RNAcentral's name for it is "bacterial SSU rRNA". It matches the Rfam family "Bacterial small subunit ribosomal RNA", at positions 1 to 783 of the family's 1533-position model. The record is from RNAcentral. Lineage: Bacteria; Bacillati; Bacillota; Bacilli; Caryophanales; Listeriaceae.
UUUAAAGAGAGUUUGAUCCUGGCUCAGGACGAACGCUGGCGGCGUGCCUAAUACAUGCAAGUCGAACGAACGGAGGAAGAGCUUGCUCUUCCAAUGUUAGUGGCGGACGGGUGAGUAACACGUGGGCAACCUGCCUGUAAGUUGGGGAUAACUCCGGGAAACCGGGGCUAAUACCGAAUGAUAAAGUGUGGCGCAUGCCACGCUUUUGAAAGAUGGUUUCGGCUAUCGCUUACAGAUGGGCCCGCGGUGCAUUAGCUAGUUGGUAGGGUAAUGGCCUACCAAGGCAACGAUGCAUAGCCGACCUGAGAGGGUGAUCGGCCACACUGGGACUGAGACACGGCCCAGACUCCUACGGGAGGCAGCAGUAGGGAAUCUUCCGCAAUGGACGAAAGUCUGACGGAGCAACGCCGCGUGUAUGAAGAAGGUUUUCGGAUCGUAAAGUACUGUUGUUAGAGAAGAACAAGGAUAAGAGUAACUGCUUGUCCCUUGACGGUAUCUAACCAGAAAGCCACGGCUAACUGCGUGCCAGCAGCCGCGGUAAUACGUAGGUGGCAAGCGUUGUCCGGAUUUAUUGGGCGUAAAGCGCGCGCAGGCGGUCUUUUAAGUCUGAUGUGAAAGCCCCCGGCUUAACCGGGGAGGGUCAUUGGAAACUGGAAGACUGGAGUGCAGAAGAGGAGAGUGGAAUUCCACGUGUAGCGGUGAAAUGCGUAGAUAUGUGGAGGAACACCAGUGGCGAAGGCGACUCUCUGGUCUGUAACUGACGCUGAGGCGCGAAAGCGUGGGGAGCAAACAGGAUUAGAU